CCUACGGGAGGCUGCAGUGGGGGAUAUUGCACAAUGGGGGAAACCCUGAUGCAGCGACGCCGCGUGGGUGAAGAAGUAUUUCGGUAUGUAAAGCCCUAUCAGCAGGGAAGAAAGAAGACGGUACCUGACUAAGAAGCCCCGGCUAACUACGUGCCAGCAGCCGCGGUAAUACGUAGGGGGCGAGCGUUAUCCGGAUUCACUGGGUGUAAAGGGAGCGUAGACGGCCGUGCAAGCCAGGAGUGAAAGCCCGGGGCCCAACCCCGGGACUGCUCUUGGAACUGGGCGGCUGGAGUGCGGGAGGGGCAGGCGGAAUUCCUGGUGUAGCGGUGAAAUGCGUAGAUAUCAGGAGGAACACCGGCGGCGAAGGCGGCCUGCUGGACCGCGACUGACGUUGAGGCUCGAAAGCGUGGGGAGCGAACAGGAUUAGAUACCCCUGUAGUC
RNAcentral lists this ribosomal RNA (441 nucleotides) under uncultured bacterium. RNAcentral's name for it is "partial 16S ribosomal RNA". It matches the Rfam family "Bacterial small subunit ribosomal RNA", at positions 338 to 795 of the family's 1533-position model. The record is from RNAcentral.